Molecule: long non-coding RNA, 317 nt
Filed under: Manihot esculenta (cassava)
Lineage: Eukaryota; Viridiplantae; Streptophyta; Magnoliopsida; Malpighiales; Euphorbiaceae
Description: long non-coding RNA (MESC_LNC003003)
Source: RNAcentral
CAAAUGAAGGCCAACUAUUUUACAGCUUUGAAGGUAUGCUUCCCGUGAUGAGAAAUAAUUCUAUCGGUGCCCAUACCCAGCUGGGGAUGGCCUCUUAUUAGCUCCACCAAGUGGUGGAGGCCUAGGCCCCCUAUUUCCAUUACUAGGUGGUGCUGGUUGGUGAAACCCACCAGCUCCACCAGGUGGUGGCUGCAUUGGCCGUCUACUUUGCCCACCAUGAGGCAAAUGGUGUGGUGGCGUCCUACUAGGCCCACCAGCACCAGACGGAGGCACCCUACUUGGCCCAACAGCACCAGACGGAGGCACCCUACUUCCUC